RNAcentral lists this ribosomal RNA (413 nucleotides) under uncultured bacterium. RNAcentral's name for it is "bacterial SSU rRNA". It matches the Rfam family "Bacterial small subunit ribosomal RNA", at positions 505 to 916 of the family's 1533-position model. The record is from RNAcentral.
GUGCCAGCAGCCGCGGUAAUACGUAGGGGGCGAGCGUUGUCCGGAAUUACUGGGCGUAAAGGGUGCGUAGGCGGAUACGCAAGUCCGAUGUGAAAUGCCUCGGCUUAACCGAGGAGCUGCAUUGGAAACUGUGUAUCUAGAGUGCAGGAGAGGGAAGCGGAAUUCCUAGUGUAGCGGUGAAAUGCGUAGAUAUUAGGAGGAACACCAGUGGCGAAGGCGGCUUCCUGGACUGUAACUGACGCUGAGGCACGAAAGCUGGGGGAGCAAACAGGAUUAGAUACCCUGGUAGUCCCAGCCGUAAACGAUGGGUACUAGGUGUUGCAGCUUAUGACAGCUGCAGUGCCGUAGUUAACGCAAUAAGUACCCCGCCUGGGGAGUACGGCCGCAAGGCUGAAACUCAAAGAAAUUGACGG